This 84-nucleotide transfer RNA is filed under the name Verrucomicrobiaceae bacterium TMED76. RNAcentral's name for it is "tRNA-Leu". It matches the Rfam family "tRNA". From Rfam's summary of the family: Transfer RNA (tRNA) molecules are approximately 80 nucleotides in length. RNAcentral also lists the same sequence under 2 other names. The record is from RNAcentral. Lineage: Bacteria; Pseudomonadati; Verrucomicrobiota; Verrucomicrobiia; Verrucomicrobiales; Verrucomicrobiaceae.
GCUCGCGUGGCGGAAUUGGUAGACGCGCUAGAUUCAGGUUCUAGUGAGAGCAAUCUCGUGGAAGUUCGACUCUUCUCGUGAGCA